AGUAGGUUUUUGUGGAGUAUAAAAAGUAAACCCUACAAGUAUUAAGCUAGGGGACUGUCUCUGUCGAUGGUGAGCAAGCUCAGCUUUUAAGAUCUGAGAAGCCUAAAGUCGUUACCAUGGUCACCCACCUAAAAACCUGGGUUUGCUGUUUAUUACUUCCACAAAAACUUUUUU
Molecule: non-coding RNA, 174 nt
Filed under: Bdellovibrionales bacterium
Lineage: Bacteria; Pseudomonadati; Bdellovibrionota; Bdellovibrionia; Bdellovibrionales
Description: 6S RNA
Rfam family: 6S / SsrS RNA
About the family: E. coli 6S RNA was the first non coding RNA to be sequenced, but its function was unknown until recently.
Source: RNAcentral